This 84-nucleotide transfer RNA is filed under the name Candidatus Woesearchaeota archaeon. RNAcentral's name for it is "tRNA-Ser". It matches the Rfam family "tRNA". Rfam says of the family: Transfer RNA (tRNA) molecules are approximately 80 nucleotides in length. Their secondary structure includes four short double-helical elements and three loops (D, anti-codon, and T loops). Lineage: Archaea; Nanobdellati; Candidatus Woesearchaeota. The record is from RNAcentral.
GCCAGCGUGGCACAAUCUGGUACUGCGCGGGCCUGGAAAGCCCGUUUCCUCACGGAUAUCCCGGUUCAAAUCCGGGCGCUGGCG